GAAGCGCCUGCAGACAUCAUAAAACAUAACCAUGUAUGUCAGAAAUCAAAUACUUCUAUUAUGAAAAGUUCUCAUUACUAACAUUGUUGACAAGAAAGUGAUUAUCCUAGUAUUAACCAUGUAAUAGAAAGCGCAUAGAAAACUCUGCCUCCAUAUUGAUAAGUUAUGUUAAAAUAUCUUCCAGAUAGAGCUGGGUCAUUGAGCUCUUUCACCACAAGUGACAAAUG
Molecule: unclassified non-coding RNA, 227 nt
Filed under: Hevea brasiliensis (rubber tree)
Lineage: Eukaryota; Viridiplantae; Streptophyta; Magnoliopsida; Malpighiales; Euphorbiaceae
Source: RNAcentral